AUCAAUUGUUUGUGCGCGACGUUUAAUCAAAGUGUAAUAAUAACAAAAUAAAGCAAAUAUAACCUCAACACGCUUGAGCUAUGCAUGCGCGUUUUAACCACAUGACGUAGCCAGCAAGCAAUUUAGCUGAAAGCAUGCGCAUAAUUCAGCGAAAAAAGCUAUAGGAC
Long non-coding RNA from Drosophila busckii, 167 nucleotides. RefSeq lists it as uncharacterized. Lineage: Eukaryota; Metazoa; Arthropoda; Insecta; Diptera; Drosophilidae. The record is from RefSeq and is a predicted model, not a curated record. The transcript has 3 exons.